This 164-nucleotide ribosomal RNA is filed under the name Symplocos henschelii. RNAcentral's name for it is "5.8S ribosomal RNA". It matches the Rfam family "5.8S ribosomal RNA". Rfam says of the family: 5.8S ribosomal RNA (5.8S rRNA) is a component of the large subunit of the eukaryotic ribosome. It is transcribed by RNA polymerase I as part of the 45S precursor that also contains 18S and 28S rRNA. Lineage: Eukaryota; Viridiplantae; Streptophyta; Magnoliopsida; Ericales; Symplocaceae. The record is from RNAcentral.
UAAACGACUCUCGGCAACGGAUAUCUCGGCUCUCGCAUCGAUGAAGNNNNNNNCGAAAUGCGAUACUUGGUGUGAAUUGCAGAAUCCCGUGAACCAUCGAGUUUUUGAACGCAAGUUGCGCCCGAAGCCAUUAGGUUGAGGGCACGUCUGCCUGGGCGUCUCAC